RNAcentral lists this ribosomal RNA (423 nucleotides) under uncultured bacterium. Its description in RNAcentral is "bacterial SSU rRNA". It matches the Rfam family "Bacterial small subunit ribosomal RNA", at positions 362 to 776 of the family's 1533-position model. The record is from RNAcentral.
UAUUGCGCAAUGGGCGAAAGCCUGACGCAGCGACGCCGCGUGGGUGAUGAAGGCCUUCGGGUCGUAAAGCCCUGUCGAGGGGGAAGAACCAGCAGUGACCUAAUACGUCGCUGCCCUGACGGUACCCCUAAAGGAAGCACCGGCUAACUCCGUGCCAGCAGCCGCGGUAAUACGGAGGGUGCGAGCGUUGUUCGGAAUCACUGGGCGUAAAGCGCGUGUAGGCGGUCUGUUAAGUCUGAUGUGAAAGCCCGGGGCUCACCCCCGGAAGUGCAUUGGAAACUGGCAGACUGGAGUCCCGGAGAGGAGGGUGGAAUUCCUGGUGUAGCGGUGAAAUGCGUAGAUAUCAGGAGGAACACCGGUGGCGAAGGCGGCCCUCUGGACGGUGACUGACGCUGAGACGCGAAAGCGUGGGGAGCAAACAGG